Ficedula albicollis (Collared flycatcher) is the source of this 561-nucleotide long non-coding RNA. RefSeq lists it as uncharacterized. The record is from RefSeq and is a predicted model, not a curated record. The transcript has 4 exons. Lineage: Eukaryota; Metazoa; Chordata; Aves; Passeriformes; Muscicapidae.
GGAAAGAGCCCUGGGAAGAGGAUUUGGAAAUGUUGGAAUGUGUCAGCUUGGAAAACGCUUCAGGACAGACCAAAAUUUGAGGUGUGUGAUGCAACUCGAUAAUACACUCCUGAUAUCACUGAGAUGGGAGAGACAAGCAAGGAGCAAGACAUCAAAGGAAGGAGAAGAAAGAGAAGAUGCCAAAGGCAGGAGAAGAAAGAGGGGAAGAUGCCAAACGCUGCCUUGAUUUACCUGCUUUACAUACCCGGUACUGCGUUUCAGAAAUCCUUAUUUUGAGAUCACUUUCCUGUGGUGUUUAUAAGGACUGGAGAAGUCUUGAGACCUAAAAGGAACAGCCAAAAAUAGCAACACUGAAUAUGGAAAUGCAGGAAACGUGAACAGCAGUUUUCAUUUGAAAUGGGAUGUGUAAGAUAAUGGCAAAUCCAACAUUACUGCAGUAUUCCCAUCAGUUACUCUUUCAUUUCCCUGUUUUAUUUAUACAAAACCCUUGGAAGCACUGCUGUUGCUGAAUGUUUUGCUUGAUAGCAUUUCUAAUUUCCUUGUGCUGGUUUAUCCCUAUGA